CGUUCGCCUCGACGCGGGCCGUGUACGUCUUCCCCUUGACGGGGCGGAAGCCGGUCAGAGCGAUCCGUGCGGUCGUGUCGCGCGCGAACGGC
RNAcentral lists this transfer RNA (92 nucleotides) under compost metagenome. Its description in RNAcentral is "tRNA-Val". The record is from RNAcentral.